RNAcentral lists this ribosomal RNA (495 nucleotides) under uncultured bacterium. RNAcentral describes it as "partial 16S ribosomal RNA". It matches the Rfam family "Bacterial small subunit ribosomal RNA", at positions 28 to 507 of the family's 1533-position model. The record is from RNAcentral.
GACGAACGCUGGCGGCGUGCCUAAUACAUGCAAGUAGAACGCUGAAGGAGGAGCUUGCUUCUCUGGAUGAGUUGCGAACAGGUGAGUAACGCGUAGGUAACCUGCCUGGUAGCGGGGGAUAACUAUUGGAAACGAUAGCUAAUACCGCAUAAGAGUAGAUGUUGCAUGACAUUUGCUUAAAAGGUGCAAUUGCAUCACUACCAGAUGGACCUGCGUUGUAUUAGCUAGUUGGUGGGGUAACGGCUCACCAAGGCGACGAUACAUAGCCGACCUGAGAGGGUGAUCGGCCACACUGGGACUGAGACACGGCCCAGACUCCUACGGGAGGCAGCAGUAGGGAAUCUUCGGCAAUGGACGGAAGUCUGACCGAGCAACGCCGCGUGAGUGAAGAAGGUUUUCGGAUCGUAAAGCUCUGUUGUAAGAGAAGAACGAGUGUGAGAGUGGAAAGUUCACACUGUGAUGGUAUCUUACCAGAAAGGGACGGCUAACUACGUG